This 445-nucleotide ribosomal RNA is filed under the name uncultured bacterium. RNAcentral's name for it is "SSU rRNA". It matches the Rfam family "Bacterial small subunit ribosomal RNA", at positions 26 to 518 of the family's 1533-position model. The record is from RNAcentral.
AGAGCGAACGCUGGCGGCAGGCUUAACACAUGCAAGUCGAACGGAUCCUUCGGGAUUAGUGGCGGACGGGUGAGUAACACGUGGGAACGUGCCUUUAGGUUCGGAACAACACAGGGAAACUUGUGCUAAUACCGGAUGUGCCCUUCGGGGGAAAGAUUUAUCGCCUUUAGAGCGGCCCGCGUCUGAUUAGCUUGUUGGUGAGGUAAAGGCUCACCAAGGCUACGAUCAGUAGCUGGUCUGAGAGGAUGGCCAGCCACAUUGGGACUGAGACACGGCCCAAACUCCUACGGGAGGCAGCAGUGGGGAAUCUUGCGCAAUGGGGGAAACCCUGACGCAGCCAUGCCGCGUGGAUGAUGAAGGUCUUAGGAUUGUAAAAUCCUUUCAGCGGGGACGAUAAUGACGGUACCGCAGAAGAAGCCCCGGCUAACUUCGCGCCAGCAGCCGC